GGGGAGGCUGGAAGAUGAAAUAUUCUUCCACCUGCUUCAUACAGGGCCCUUCAGCCACCGUGGACACAGCUGAGAUUGGAGAUCAGAGUAAGCUAGAUGGGGAUUUCCUUCAUGAUCUUCUGGUGAGACUCAUGUCUGACACCUACAGGAAGGCCUUUGAUUGUUUCAGGUGCACUAUGGAAACAACAAAUGUCAAGCAAAAGAUGAAAGAGGAGUCAAGGCAUUUUCAUUCUGUAAGAGAAGGAACCUGCUGCUGACAGGUGGAAUGGGCCGAAUCAUUCGAGUCUGGAAUCCUUAUCUGCCAGGAAAACCAACAGGUAUGCUGAAAAGCCACAUGGCUCCAGUGGUCUACAUCCAUGUAUCCGCUGAGGAUAACAAAAUAUUUUCCAUGUCUACCGACAACACUAUUAAGGCCCAGACCAGAGUGUUUCCUGCCUUGCCUUCCUGAAGACACGGGCUGCCAAGUUUGAAUCACCUGCUGCUUCCCUAAUCACCAAUGGGCCCGAAGGUUCUGUCACUUUCUGGAGGCUGUUCAGUGGAGCCUGUCCCAUUGCAAACUUCAUUCCUCUUUACUUUCUAUAUAGCCUUCCUAUCUUGCUGAAAGAUUAACACCAGCACAGUGAUUACUUCUAACUAUAAAUGAGAUACAACAUUCCACUUGCCAUUGUCUGACAGUCCAAGGACAAAGCGCAGGUCAGUAGCAUCGCAGUGACAGCAGAUGUCCUUGUCUAUGUGGCUGACCAGAAAGGCUUUGUGCACGUCUACGACAUCAAAGAGUAUGGCCUGCAGGGACCCGAGCUGCAAUUCCCCAAAAAUGUGAUGGUCUGGCGGGCCCAUGUCAGUGUGAUGAGAUCGAACCUUUGGGCAGCAUAGCCCCAGGGAUAUUUUCACUCCUGCCUCCUGGAGCCACCCUAGAGUGCCCUAUGAAAUUUUGACAGAUCCCCGGAGCAUGCCUGCUCUCCCAGUGCUGGAACAGGAUGUGGCUGCUAUGCACACAGAAGAGGAAGGGCAAGACAACGUGGUGGUGGAAGAGUUUAAGCCUGAAAAGACUCCUAACUCUUGCUCUCUAGAAGAACCCAUCCUUGAAGCUGAAAUAAAAGAAGACAUAAAUCGA
This is an RNA transcript of Canis lupus familiaris (dog), 1114 nucleotides long. It is a transcript of the gene named WD repeat-containing protein 49-like, with no coding region annotated. The record is from RefSeq and is a predicted model, not a curated record. NCBI's taxonomy places the organism in Eukaryota, Metazoa, Chordata, Mammalia, Carnivora, Canidae. The transcript has 11 exons.